This 220-nucleotide small RNA is filed under the name Drosophila willistoni. RNAcentral describes it as "GK27783". The record is from RNAcentral. Lineage: Eukaryota; Metazoa; Arthropoda; Insecta; Diptera; Drosophilidae.
GAAGAGAAAAAGAAAGAAGGUUCUGAGAUGAAAUCCCAAGGUGUUAAGAAGAGUCCUUCUGCAUGUGGAGAUCAGAAGGAGGAUAAUAAAGCAAAGCCAUAAAGAGACCUUCUACAAAGACGAUGAACUGGUUUUCAAUAUCCCGUGGUGAAAACAAGUAAAGAUAAUACAAUAAUACUUUUGUCAAUAUUGCAAAGGUCAAUAAACUAAAUGAAAGGAA